CCUUGCUUCAAGUAUACUUCCCUAGAAUUCUGGCUCUCUACAAUACACUAUUGACUAAAUGGAAAGAACAAUAAUAAAAAAAUGAAAUUGAAACCUGUUCAAUUAUAAUGGCUCCAGGCUGGUCCCCCUAGGUUCCCCAUGAAUAACUGAGUCCCAGUGGACGGGACAAGUGGCACCCAAUGUGGGGGGCAAGAGGUGAGGACCCUUGCCAGGCGGACCCCGAAGAAUCGUCUGGACCCCGAAGAAAUCACAAGGAUCCCCUUCUGUCCUUGAGCUGGCUCCAGCAAAUCUUUGAGCCUGACCCUGAAGUCUUGCGUGAAAAGUGAGAAAAUGGGGAAAAGUCCUUAAAGCACUAAAGACCAUUAAGCGCCAUGAUGAAUUUAGGUUUUUCAAGAAGCUAUCACAAGAGUGAUUCAGAGAGUAGCUACCUUCAUUUCCCUCUGUAUCAUAUCUUAAGUAAAUGGAUAUUUAAUUAUAAUAGACUGGACUGGAGGAACCAAGGGAAUCCCAGUGAUAGGAAACCAUGGCAGACUGCCACAACCACCAUAAUAACAUUAGUGUUUCUGAAGAAUUUACAGUACAAGCCAAAAGGAAGUCUACCUCCAGAGAAAGCAAGUAGAGUGGGAGAUCUACUAAGUAUCAUCAUAAAGAAGCGAAUGAACCCAUUGUCUUAAUGUUUAUAAACCCAAAGAUCCCUACUGUCAAGAUAAGAAUUACUAUUCAACAAAAACUGGAAAGCAACAUGGCAGAAACUAGGUACAGAACAACAGCUCAUGACAUAUUCCAACAUUUGCUUCAAAUGAAUAUCAUAAAUAAAUUAAAGGAACAAGG
Molecule: long non-coding RNA, 831 nt
Filed under: Sarcophilus harrisii (Tasmanian devil)
Lineage: Eukaryota; Metazoa; Chordata; Mammalia; Dasyuromorphia; Dasyuridae
Description: lncRNA (ENSSHAG00000021485.1)
Source: RNAcentral